GACGAACGCUGGCGGCGUGCCUAAUACAUGCAAGUAGAACGCUGAAGAGAGGAGCUUGCUCUUCUUGGAUGAGUUGCGAACGGGUGAGUAACGCGUAGGUAACCUGCCUUGUAGCGGGGGAUAACUAUUGGAAACGAUAGCUAAUACCGCAUAACAAUGGAUGACACAUGUCAUUUAUUUGAAAGGGGCAAUUGCUCCACUACAAGAUGGACCUGCGUUGUAUUAGCUAGUAGGUGAGGUAAUGGCUCACCUAGGCGACGAUACAUAGCCGACCUGAGAGGGUGAUCGGCCACACUGGGACUGAGACACGGCCCAGACUCCUACGGGAGGCAGCAGUAGCGAAUCUUCGGCAAUGGGGGCAACCCUGACCGAGCAACGCCGCGUGAGUGAAGAAGGUUUUCGGAUCGUAAAGCUCGGUUGUAAGUCAAGAACGGGUGUGAGAGUGGAAAGUUCACACUGUGACGGUAGCUUACCAGAAAGGGACGGCUAACUACGUG
RNAcentral lists this ribosomal RNA (497 nucleotides) under uncultured bacterium. RNAcentral describes it as "partial 16S ribosomal RNA". It matches the Rfam family "Bacterial small subunit ribosomal RNA", at positions 28 to 507 of the family's 1533-position model. The record is from RNAcentral.